UAUUCUUAGUUCUAUAGAUACUGUUCAUGUAUUCUUACAGGCACUAUUACUACGAUAUUUUGAAUUACACAGAACUUUUUGAUAUUGACAUUUGCAUUUAUCAGUGUUACAAUAACAUAUGUAGUGUCAAGAUAGUGGCACAUGAUGAAAUCAUGUUAGACCCAGAAGAUGCUUUCCAUGAUGUACUACUACAAACAUACACCCUGAUCUGUUUCAGAACAGUCUGUGGUCGUUUCAAAGUGCUCAGAGCAUGUAUUGGUUUUUACAGAUUUGUCCACAAUGCGUUGUGGUUGCCUCAUGUUGGCCAUAAAGC
RNAcentral lists this long non-coding RNA (313 nucleotides) under Androctonus crassicauda. Lineage: Eukaryota; Metazoa; Arthropoda; Arachnida; Scorpiones; Buthidae. The record is from RNAcentral.